Non-coding RNA from Coturnix japonica (Japanese quail), 1144 nucleotides. The record is from RefSeq and is a predicted model, not a curated record. NCBI's taxonomy places the organism in Eukaryota, Metazoa, Chordata, Aves, Galliformes, Phasianidae.
GGCGGAGUUAUGGGGCAGCCCUAUGGGGCUGUCAUAUGGGGCUGCUCUAUGGGGCAGCCCUAUAGGGCAGCGUUAUGGGGAGGAGCUAUGAGGCUGCUCUAUGGGGCAGAGCUAUGGGGCAGCCCUAUGGGGCGACCGUGUCCCUAUGGGGCGGACUUAUGGGGCAGCCCUAUAGGGCGACCCUAUGGAGCUGUUCUAUAGGGCGGCGCUAUGGGGCAGCCCUAUGGGACGGAGUUAUGGGGCAGCCCUAUAGGGCGGCGCUAUAGGGCGGCUCUAUAGGGCGUCGCUAUGGGGCGGCGCUAUGGGGCUGCCGUAUGGGGUAACCCUAUGGGGCGGCUCUAUAGGGCGGCGCUAUGGGGCGGCUCUGUCCCUAUGGGGCAACCCUAUGGGGCGGCGCUAUGGGGCGGACCUGUCCCUAUGGGGCGGAGUUAUGGGGCAGCCCUAUAGGGCUGUCAUAUGGGGCUGCUCUAUGGGGCGGCCCUAUAGGGCGGAGCUAUGGGGCGGCGCUAUGGGGCACCCCUAUGGGGCGGACCUGUCCCUAUGGGGCGGUUCUAUGGGGCAGAGCUAUGGGGCGGCUCUAUAGGGCAUCGCUAUGGGGCGGCCGUGUCCCUAUGGGGCAACCCUAUGGGGCAGCCCUAUGGGGCGGCCCUGUCCCUAUGGGGCGGUUCUAUGGGGCGGCUCUAUAGGGCGGCGCUAUGGGGCGGCCCUGUCCCUAUGGGGCAACCCUAUGGGGCGGCGCUAUGGGGCGGCUCUAUAGGGCGUCGCUAUGGGGCGGCCGUGUCCUUAUAGCGCCCCAUAAUGCGGGGGCGGUGGGGGAACCCGUUGGGUGAGUGUUGCCUCCGCCCCACACAUCCCGCCCCAUAGAAUCCUAUGGAGCCCAUGGCUGCCCCACACAUCGCCUUCAGCCUCCUCUUCCUCUGCCCCAUAGCAGCCGCUCUGCCCCACUGCGACGGGGACGGAUGGGAGAACGGAGCACGGACAGUGAAGGCGUCGGAGCUGACCAGGGCACAACCGGUGUGCGGCCGCCCCAUGGCUGUGGGGCUGACCCGUAACGUGGGGGGUGAGGACGCCAUGGCUGGUCAAUGGCCAUAGAACCCCAUAGAGCCCCAUAGAACCCCAUAGAGCNCCCAUAGAACCCCAUAGA